Caretta caretta (loggerhead turtle) is the source of this 3997-nucleotide RNA transcript. It is a transcript of the gene named phosphatidylinositol 3-kinase catalytic subunit type 3, with no coding region annotated. Lineage: Eukaryota; Metazoa; Chordata; Testudines; Cheloniidae. The record is from RefSeq and is a predicted model, not a curated record.
GCCGCCGGGGUUAGGGGUCGGAGGUACUGAGUGAGGCUCCGGCGGCUGCAGCGGGCGGGGGGAGCCUCGGGAGCCGCCAUGGGGGAGGCCGAGAAGUUCUAUUACGUCUAUAGCUGCGACCUGGACAUCAACGUGCAGCUGAAGAUAGGAAGUCUGGAAGGGAAAAGAGAACAGAAGAGUUACAAAGCUGUUUUGGAAGACCCUAUGCUGAAGUUCUCAGGAUUAUACCAGGAGACUUGUUCUGACUUGUAUGUAACUUGCCAAGUGUUUGCAGAAGGGAAACCUCUUGCUCUUCCAGUUAGGACUUCCUACAAAGCUUUUAGCACUAGAUGGAACUGGAAUGAAUGGCUAAAAUUGCCUGUGAAGUAUCCUGACUUGCCCCGUAAUGCACAAGUGGCUCUGACAAUAUGGGAUGUAUAUGGGCCAGGUAAAGCAGUUCCGGUAGGGGGAACAACAGUCUCACUCUUUGGAAAAUAUGGUAUGUUUCGUCAAGGAAUGCAUGACUUGAAAGUCUGGCCCAAUGUAGAAGCUGAUGGCUCAGAGCCCACCAAAACUCCUGGGAGGACCAGUAGCACUCUCUCUGAAGAUCAGAUGAGCCGAUUGGCUAAGCUCACCAAGUCUCAUCGACAAGGUCACAUGGUGAAAGUAGACUGGCUGGACAGACUGACCUUUAGAGAAAUAGAAAUGAUCAAUGAGAGUGAAAAACGGAGUUCUAAUUUUAUGUACUUGAUGAUUGAGUUUCGGUGUGUCAAGUGUGAUGAUAAAGAAUAUGGAAUAGUUUACUAUGAAAAGGAUGGUGAUGAGUCCUCUCCAAUUUUAACAAGCUCUGAGAUUGUUAAGGUUCCAGAUCCCCAGAUGUCGAUGGAGAAUUUAGUAGAGAGCAAACAUCACAAGCUUGCUCGAAGUUUAAGAAGUGGGCCCUCUGAUCAUGAUCUCAAGCCUAAUGCAGCUACUCGAGAUCAGCUUAAUAUUAUAGUGAGUUAUCCACCAACAAAGCAACUGACCUAUGAGGAACAGGAUCUAGUUUGGAAGUUCAGAUACUAUCUUACUAAUCAAGAAAAGGCUUUGACCAAGUUCUUGAAAUGUGUCAACUGGGACCUGCCCCAGGAGGCAAAACAGGCACUGGAGCUACUGGGUAAAUGGAAGCCAAUGGAUGUAGAAGAUUCUCUGGAACUGUUAUCAUCUCAUUUCACCAACCCAACAGUACGGCGAUAUGCUGUUGCCAGGUUGCAACAGGCAGAUGAUGAGGAUUUGUUGAUGUACCUGUUGCAGUUGGUCCAGGCCUUGAAAUAUGAAAAUUUUGAUGACAUAAAGAAUGGGUUAGAGCCAAAUAAGAGGGACAGUCAGGGUUCAAUGUCUGAGAGUAUGGCAACAUCAGGAAUGAAUGCUGCAGAAAUAGACAGCUCCCAGAUCAUAGCAAGUCCCCUUCCUCCUGUAUCCUCCCCACCUCCUGCUUCUAAAACAAAGGAUUCUGCAGAGAGUGAAAACCUUGAACAAGACCUUUGCACUUUCUUGAUAUCCCGAGCCUGCAAGAAUUCCACCCUGGCUAACUACUUAUAUUGGUAUGUAAUAGUGGAAUGUGAAGACCAAGACACUCAGCAGAGGGAUCCAAAAACUCAUGAAAUGUACCUAAAUGUGAUGAGACGGUUUAGUCAGGCUCUAUUAAAGGGUGAUAAAUCUGUCAGGGUUAUGCGUUCUUUGCUGGCAGCGCAGCAGACAUUUGUAGAUCGACUGGUUCAUCUAAUGAAGGCAGUGCAGCGUGAAAGUGGGAAUCGUAAAAAAAAGAAUGAGAGGCUACAGGCAUUACUUGCAGACAAUGAGAAGAUGAAUUUAUCAGAUGUGGAACUUAUUCCACUUCCUUUAGAGCCUCAGGUGAAAAUCAGAGGAAUAAUCCCAGAGACAGCUACACUGUUUAAGAGUGCCCUAAUGCCUGCCCAGUUAUUCUUCAAGACAGAAGAUGGAGGCAAAUAUCCUGUAAUAUUUAAACAUGGUGAUGAUUUACGUCAAGAUCAACUUAUUCUUCAAAUUAUUUCACUCAUGGACAAGCUGUUACGUAAGGAGAAUCUGGAUUUGAAGCUAACACCAUAUAAGGUGCUGGCUACUAGUACAAAGCAUGGUUUCAUGCAGUUUAUUCAGUCAGUCCCUGUUGCUGAAGUUCUUGCUACCGAAGAAAGUAUACAGAACUUCUUCAGAAAACAUGCGCCAAGCGAGACUGGUCCUAAUGGGAUAAGUGCAGAGGUCAUGGACACUUAUGUUAAAAGUUGUGCUGGUUAUUGUGUUAUUACCUAUAUCCUUGGAGUUGGAGACCGACAUCUGGAUAAUCUCUUGCUAACAAAAACAGGUAAACUGUUUCACAUCGAUUUUGGUUACAUUCUGGGUCGUGACCCUAAGCCUCUGCCUCCCCCAAUGAAGCUAAAUAAGGAAAUGGUGGAAGGUAUGGGAGGCACUCAGAGUGAGCAGUACCAGGAGUUCCGCAAACAGUGUUACACAGCCUUUCUACAUCUCCGCAGGUAUUCCAACUUGAUCUUGAACUUGUUUUCCCUCAUGGUGGAUGCAAACAUUCCAGAUAUUGCUCUUGAACCUGACAAGACUGUGAAAAAGGUGCAGGACAAGUUCCGUUUGGACCUCUCUGAUGAAGAAGCUGUACAUUACAUGCAGAGUCUAAUUGAUGAAAGUGUCCACGCUCUCUUUGCAGCUGUAGUAGAACAAAUACACAAGUUUGCUCAGGAGCAAGUGAGCAACUAAACUCUUGAUUUGGAGAGUGCUGUUCAGUCCUGCAAGUAGUCUGUUUUGGCAGGCUCUGCAUGGGUGGGUCCUUAGGGGUCAAGUCUACCUGUUGGACAGAGCUCUGUGCUGUCUCUGAAUCCUGCAAGAGGAGGACCUGCCACUCCUGAGCAUGAUAUCGCCAAGAAGAGAAAUUUUAGCAAUAUUGGAGAAAAUAAACCCAUCAACGGCUUUUGCUGGAAAUGGAAAUAUCAUCUAGUGCUCAACAAGGAGACUUUCUUGAGCCAUCUAUGGACUUUUCAAGACAGCACCUGAAGGCGAGAACUGCUCAUUUGAUAGCACAGAGUGCGUGGAGGACAGGGGUCUCUGAGUUACCACUAUUAUAAGGUUAAAAAUGACAAUUAUUUAGAAAACAUGUAUUUAUUUCCCACUUUGGGCCUAGAUGUUCCUGCAUAUAUUACUUGUAAGAAACUUAAGCCAUGUAGGUAAAAUAGGCAACUUCCUCCAAUGUCAUGGAUGAUUGGAAGAGGCUGCAGAAGAGAGAUCCAGCACUUGCUGGUGAAUUUAUUUUUGUGUCUUGGUUACUAUAUUUUGGGACCUAGAAACUGAAGUCCAUUGCUGCACUUAACUUGGACAUUGAUACAUGCAGUGUGCAGCCUAUAAUGGUAUAUAUUGUGAUUUCUCAUUAGCCUAAGAAACAGGAUAAUUGAACACCCCACCCCCAAACAAACACACACAACAGUUUUCACCUGGAAUUAAAGUUUUUAAUGGAGUCAUCUAACCGCUUCCCAAUUUGGAAAGAAGUUCUCAUAUGGAAAGGACAAUCAUUCUUCUUUACUUUAUAAAACGAUAUUUUUAAUGGCCGAUAAGUUAGCCAAAUACAGGCACAGAAUUAGAAAUAAUCAGUAUGUAGCCCAUGGCAGCGAGCCUGCCAGCCCAGCUCGAUGGACUCAUGCUAGUGCUGAUUUGUGCUAGUACUCUAAAAAUAGCUGUGUAGACAGCUCUUUGAAGUUGCGACUUCAGCUGGAGCUCAGGCUCCACAGCCUAGGGAGAAAGGGGUAGGCUUCAAACCCCAAGCCACAGUUCUGAAGCGCUGUCCACACCGCUAUUUUUAGAGAGCUAGCCUGAAUCUGUCAACCUAAAGACUAGCCAGAAGGCACCGUGAUAGGUUUAGUAUAAGUUCAUAGCAAAGUCUCACUUUAACUAUGAACAUCAAUGUACAGUGACCACAUGUAAUAUUUUCCUUGACUCUAAUAAAUUCUUCCUUGAUGCA